CCCUUAGAUGUUCGGGGCCGCACGCGCGCUACACUGAAGGACUCAGCGUGUCUCUCCCCCUAUCCCGAAAGGGAUGGGCAACCCGUUGAACCUCCUUCGUGCUAGGGAUUGGGGUUUGCAAUUAUCCCCCAUGAACGAGGAAUUCCCAGUAAGCGCGAGUCAUCAGCUCGCGUUGAUUACGUCCCUGCCCUUUGUACACACCGCCCGUCGCUACUACCGAUUGGAUGGUUUAGUGAGACCCUCGGAUCGGUCCCGACUCGGGGUGGGCUUCUGCCCCGGUCGUGGUUUCGCCGAGAAGACGGUCAAACUUGACUAUCUAGAGAAAGUAAAAGUCGUAACA
This 340-nucleotide ribosomal RNA is filed under the name uncultured eukaryote. RNAcentral describes it as "partial 18S ribosomal RNA". It matches the Rfam family "Eukaryotic small subunit ribosomal RNA", at positions 1470 to 1796 of the family's 1831-position model. The record is from RNAcentral.